This is a non-coding RNA of Rhincodon typus (whale shark), 73 nucleotides long. The record is from the annotation of a RefSeq genome assembly. Lineage: Eukaryota; Metazoa; Chordata; Chondrichthyes; Orectolobiformes; Rhincodontidae.
CCUUCGAUAGCUCAGCUGGUAGAGCGGAGAUCUGUAGAUCCUUAGGUCGCUGGUUCCAUUCCAGCUCGAAGGA